This 405-nucleotide ribosomal RNA is filed under the name uncultured soil bacterium. RNAcentral describes it as "bacterial SSU rRNA". It matches the Rfam family "Bacterial small subunit ribosomal RNA", at positions 26 to 430 of the family's 1533-position model. The record is from RNAcentral.
AGGACGAACGCUGGCGGCGUGCUUAACACAUGCAAGUCGAGCGGAAAGGCCACUUCGGUGGUACUCGAGCGGCGAACGGGUGAGUAACACGUGAGUAAUCUGCCCUUCACUCUGGGAUAGCCCUCCGAAAGGGGGAUUAAUACCGGAUACGACCACAGGCCGCAUGGUGUUGUGGUGGUAAACUUUUUGGGUGGGGGAUGUGCUCGCGGCCUAUCAGCUUGUUGGUGGGGUAAUGGCCUACCAAGGCUUCGACGGGUAGCCGGCCUGAGAGGGUGACCGGCCACACGUGGGACUGAGACACGGCCCAGACCUCCGACGGGAGCAGCGAGGUGGGGAUAGUGGACAAGUGGGGCGGAAGCCUGAUCCAGCAACGCCGCGUGGAGGGACGACGGUCCGUUCGGGUAC